RNAcentral lists this ribosomal RNA (202 nucleotides) under uncultured Staphylococcus sp. RNAcentral describes it as "partial 16S ribosomal RNA". It matches the Rfam family "Bacterial small subunit ribosomal RNA", at positions 138 to 334 of the family's 1533-position model. The record is from RNAcentral. Lineage: Bacteria; Bacillati; Bacillota; Bacilli; Caryophanales; Staphylococcaceae.
CUGGGAUAACUUCGGGAAACCGGAGCUAAUACCGGAUAAUAUUUUGAACCGCAUGGUUCAAAAGUGAAAGACGGUCUUGCUGUCACUUAUAGAUGGAUCCGCGCUGCAUUAGCUAGUUGGUAAGGUAACGGCUUACCAAGGCAACGAUGCAUAGCCGACCUGAGAGGGUGAUCGGCCACACUGGAACUGAGACACGGUCCAG